This 254-nucleotide ribosomal RNA is filed under the name uncultured bacterium. Its description in RNAcentral is "partial 16S ribosomal RNA". It matches the Rfam family "Bacterial small subunit ribosomal RNA", at positions 524 to 776 of the family's 1533-position model. The record is from RNAcentral.
UACGUAGGGAGCGAGCGUUGUCCGAAUUCAUUGGGCGUAAAGAGCUCGUAGGCGGCUUGGCAAGUCGGGUGUGAAAACUCCAGGCUCAACCUGGAGACGCCACCUGAUACUGCCAUGGCUAGAGUCCGGUAGGGGACCACGGAAUUCCUGGUGUAGCGGUGAAAUGCGCAGAUAUCAGGAGGAACACCGGUGGCGAAGGCGGUGGUCUGGGCCGGUACUGACGCUGAGGAGCGAAAGCGUGGGGAGCGAACAGG